GUAGGGAAUAUUGGGCAAUGGACGAGAGUCUGACCCAGCCAUGCCGCGUGCAGGAAGACGGCGUUCUGCGUUGUAAACUGCUUUUAUCUGGGAAGAAAAUGCCCCUGCGGGGGAAAUUGCCGGUACCAGAUGAAUAAGCACCGGCUAACUCCGUGCCAGCAGCCGCGGUAAUACGGAGGGUGCAAGCGUUGUCCGGAUUUAUUGGGUUUAAAGGGUGCGUAGGCGGCUAUUUAAGUCAGUGGUGAAAGACUCCGGCUCAACCGGAGCAGUGCCAUUGAUACUGGAUAGCUUGAGUAUUGGAGGGGUACAUGGAAUUGAUGGUGUAGCGGUGAAAUGCAUAGAUACCAUCAGGAACACCGAUAGCGAAGGCAUUGUACUGGCCAAUAACUGACGCUGAUGCACGAAAGCAUGGGUAGCGAACAGGAUUAGAAACCCUAGUAGUCC
RNAcentral lists this ribosomal RNA (444 nucleotides) under uncultured bacterium. Its description in RNAcentral is "bacterial SSU rRNA". It matches the Rfam family "Bacterial small subunit ribosomal RNA", at positions 354 to 796 of the family's 1533-position model. The record is from RNAcentral.